Molecule: ribosomal RNA, 469 nt
Filed under: uncultured bacterium
Lineage: Bacteria
Description: partial 16S ribosomal RNA
Rfam family: Bacterial small subunit ribosomal RNA
Source: RNAcentral
GACGAACGCUGGCGGCGUGCUUAACACAUGCAAGUCGAACGGAAAGGCCCUGCUUGCAGGGUGCUCGAGUGGCGAACGGGUGAGUAACACGUGGGUGAUCUGCCCCUUACUUUGGGAUAAGCCUGGGAAACUGGGUCUAAUACUGGAUAGGACCAUGCUGUAGGUGGUGUGGUGGAAAGAUUAGUUUCGGUAAGGGAUGAGCUCGCGGCCUAUCAGCUUGUUGGUGGGGUAAUGGCCUACCAAGGCGUCGACGGGUAGCCGGCCUGAGAGGGUGGACGGCCACAUUGGGACUGAGAUACGGCCCAGACUCCUACGGGAGGCAGCAGUGGGGAAUAUUGCACAAUGGGCGCAAGCCUGAUGCAGCGACGCCGCGUGGGGGAUGACGGCCUUCGGGUUGUAAACUCCUUUCAGCCAUGACGAAGCCCUUGUGGUGACGGUAGUGGUAGAAGAAGCACCGGCUAACUGCGUG